RNAcentral lists this ribosomal RNA (465 nucleotides) under uncultured bacterium. RNAcentral describes it as "partial 16S ribosomal RNA". It matches the Rfam family "Bacterial small subunit ribosomal RNA", at positions 28 to 507 of the family's 1533-position model. The record is from RNAcentral.
GACGAACGCUGGCGGCGUGCUUAACACAUGCAAGUCGAACGGAAAGGCCCUGCUUGCAGGGUCCUCGGGUGGCGAACGGGUGAGUAACACGUGGGUGAUCUGCCCUGCACUUCGGGAUACGCCUGGGCCACUGGGUCUAAUACCGGAUAGGAGCCAUUUUUGGUGUGAUGGUUGGAGAGUUUUUUCGGUGUAGGGUGAGGUCGCGGCCUAUCCUCGUGUUGGUGGGGUAAUGGCCUACCAAGGCGGCGACGGGGAGCCGGCCCGAGCGGGUGGACGGCCACAUUCGGACUGAGAAACGGCCCAGACUCCUACGGGAGGUAGACGUGGGGAAGAAUGCACAAGGGGCGCAAGCCUGAUGCAGAUACGCCGCGUCGGGGAUGACGGCCCUCGGGUUGGAAAAGCCGGUCGCUAGGGACGGAGCGUUUUGUGACGGUACCUAGAUAAGAAGCACCGGCUAACUACGUG